GAGUACGGGGGACUCCCAAGUCUCCUCAACACAAGAUGUGAGAACUUGGAAGGCUGCACGAAAGCACCAUGUCAUCUCCCACCAAUCCUGCCGGUUGGCAUCGGUCAAGUUGAGGACUUCAAAUGAUGAAAUUCUCUAUUAAUUUUCUUAGUACGUGUAGCCCCUUUAGUCUUUCUUAAUUUUGUUGUUGGGUGGAAACGUGUACAGUACUCGUGUUUAAGCUACUGUUUCUGUUGUCCACAUAUUCCACUCCAAACAUAAAAAAUAAUAAUAAUAAUUGAUUUAGUAUUCCUAUCUCUGUAUUUUGAAGUAUUUUACCAAGUACCUGCCCUCAAAUUUUUCUGUUCCGUCUUAACAAAUUAUUAGGAGUCAUCAAGACCACCAGCCGCAUGAAGUGGUACUAUUUCAUGGUAGAAUAUAUACAAGGCUGCUACGAGAAAAGUUUUUUAAAAAAAAAAUCAAUGAGACAUUUUGUCUAUUUCCACCUGAAUUUCUAAGAAUAACCUAAAAACAACCACCAAGAGAUUGAACAGUAGGAGGGUAAAUUUCUUGCGGUUUUCUUGAGGUAUUAACGCGGGAAGACAGAUGGCACCAAAAACCGUACCAAAGAAAAAAGAAUGAGAAAAACAUAAAUAAAGUCUUACCAAACUCUCGGUUGCCCCCACUCCCCAAGGGCCUCCAAAAAGAAAGGAAAAAGAAAAAAAAAAACCCCGGAAAAAGGAACAAGAUACCGUCCAGCCUUGUACAAAGUAAUAUACACCAUAACUAAUACUAGUAUAUUAUUUGCAGACUGACAUGGAAAGUUAACCUAGUAAGUAGAGCUAAUUACUUUGAAAUAGAAGAGGAGUAAAAAGAUUCUAUGGAGAGAUAUCAUGUUCAAGAUGUAAUGAGCACGAGCAACGAUGAGCCUUUUCAAAUAAUGGGUUUUUCUAGGGGAUCCCAUCGGGUACUAAUUAACAUAUUUAAAAUUAAUCUAAUGUAUCACGUGUAUAUAUAUAUAUAUACAAACAAUUGUUACCUUCUUUUAUAUUUAUGUAUUUUUUCUAUUUAAUCUUACCUGUCUUUCAUUAUAUUUAUUUAUUUUUUAAAAAAAAAUAUGACACAUGAAAUAUAUCUUAACGUGUACCAAAUGAACACCCAUUGAAUAGACCCUUUAAAUGAGUAUCUUCUUAUAGUUAAUCGCAAAUUGAUGGAAGAUGACUCAAAGGUCAUACGUUUUGUUUGUUGGUUUUAGACUUUUAGAAUGGAGAGUUGAUUUGAGGCUUGUACUGUUCUCUCCCUCUCCAUUCUUUCCAUUCUGGAAAAAAGAUUAGACAGAAAUUCCUCAUCAACGCAUGUUACAAGGUAGUUAACAUUUACUGAAUUUGUCGUACGAAUUGGAUAAUAGCACGGCAAUCAUUAAGCUUUAACAUUAAAAUUGAUGUUGCACGGCAAUCAUUAAAAUUAUUAUCCAAUAUGUACAACCAAACCAACGAUGCAACAGCAACAGAAAUGUCAUUUUGCGGGGAUGUCAUCAGGGUUCUCUUCUUGAUCAGAGUACGGUUCUAAAUUUCUAAUGCUACAUAUUGAUGAUUUUCUUGGUUCUUUUUUCUCUUCCACUUUGGCGUAGUGGAAAACCUACCUAAACCAAUCCACAUUGAUAAACUAGUCUUAAAUUAGUUGGUAAGCAAUCGUCAGUUGAUCCUACUUCUUCCUCCCCCACUUUCCCAUGCGCCCUAUGCAGCACUAGAUUAGAUACCUUUUUGUCAUCAAUGAAAACGGUUUCCCUUUGGUUUAUAGUUUAUUUGGAAAUUGCUUCUGCUAAAAUUGCCCCACUGCGCGUAAUUAAUUUACUCGGUUUCUGCCGCUGAAUUGAAUUAAAUAUUAUUGUAGCCAAGGUUGAAACAUUCGAAAUUCUUGUUAAGCCUGUGGAUUUUAUUGCAUUCUCAAUUGCUCCGCAAUAAAUACUCCAUCCAAUUCCAAUUCGUGAAGAACCAUCGUUUUCUAUGAAGCAAAGAGAACGCAAGUUUUCCAGGGCGGGUGAAAUUGUGAGAGAUUUUCAAAACUAUAUGGAGUUUCUUGCAGGCCUUGGUUUUAAAAUAGGGGAUAAUUGCAGAAACCUCCCCUGAGGUUUCUGACAUUUGCACUGACCUCCCCUGUGGUUUGAAAAAUUACACUGACCUCCCCUAAGGUUACUAAUCCUUUGCAAAUUCAGUCCAAACGAUUAAAAUAUUAUUUUAGGGAGUGAAAUUAGAAUUUUUUUAUCAAAUUUGUCCUUUGUACUACAUUUUCAAUGAAUGACAAAAUACUACAAAUCAAUUAACAAUUAAUAAAUUUUAAGGAAUAUAGUUUAUAGGCAAAUACGCAUUAUUUAUUUAAAGUACCGGCUCUUUAUGGGUAUUUUACUUUUAAACAUUUAAUUUAAUACAAAUAUUUAGACUCAAAUACAUAUUUGUAUUUACUUUCAAAUAUUUAAUUUUUGUUAAAUAUAAAAACUAUCAAUCUCUCUUCCGUAAAAAUAUUAAUAUAACACUUUUUCAAUUUUAGUUACAAACAUUUAUGUAUUUAACAUAAAUUAUAUGAUUCACAAUAAAAUGCCAUAAAGAGCCAAUACUUUACUCAUUUAAUGGAUGAAAGCCAUAAAGAAUUAAUAUUUUAUGGGCCAUUUUUUUAAAAAAAAUAUUUAAUUUAUAUUAAAUAAAUAACCUACCGAUUUCGUUUUUGCAAGAAUAUUAAUGUAACACUUUUUGAAUUUUAUUUACAAACAUUGAUAUAUUUAUCAUAAAUUAAAUGUUUGAAAGUAAAAUAUCCGUAAAAAGCCGGUACUUUAAAUGAGUAAUGCGUGUUUGCCCAUAAAGAACCGGUAACUAUUUAAAGUACCGGUUAUUUACGGGUGUUUUACUUUCAAAUAUUUAAUUUAAUACAAAUAUUUACGCUCAAAUACAGAUUUGUAUUUACUUUCAAAUAUUUAAUUUUUGUUAAAUACAAAACCCACCAACUUCUCUUCCGUAAAAAUAUUAAUAUAACACUUUUUCAAUUUUAGUUACAAAUAUUUAUGUAUUUAACAUAAAUUAAAUGAUUCAGAAUAAAAUGCACAUAAAGAGCUAAUACUUUACUCAUAUAAUGGAUGAAAGUCAUAAAAAAUUAAUACUUUAUGGGCUAUUUCUUUUUUUAAAAAAAAUAUUUAAUUUAUAUUAAAUAAAUAACCUUAUAGAUUUCCUUUUUGCAAGAAUAUUACUGUAACACUUAUUGAAUUUUACUUACAAAUAUUGAUAUAUUUAUCAUAAAUUAAAUGUUUGAAAAUAAAAUUCCCGUAAAAAGUCGGUACUUUAAAUGAGUAAUGCGUGUUUGCCCAUAAAUUAUACUCCUUAAAGUUUAUUAAUUAUUAAUUGAUUUAUAAUACUUUGUCAGUCAUUGGAUAUGUAGCACAAAGGACAAAUCUGGUACAAAAUUCUAAUUUCACUCCCAAAAAUAAUAUUUUAAUCAUUUGGACUAAAUUUGCAAAGGAUUAGUAACCUCAAGGGAGGUCAGUGUAAUUUUUCAAACCACAGGGGAGGUCAGUGCAAAUGUCAAAAACCUCAGGGGAGGUUUCUGCAAUUAUCCCUUAAAAUGGAGAGUUCAUAUUGAACAAAAAAACGUGAUCCCCUCCUAACCUCUCCAACUGCGACAGAAAGUAGGGAAGCUUUACUUUCCAGUCUACCUGACAUGCGUUCACAUAUUGCAUCAUACCAGCAGACUGCAGUGGAAGUUUUCCAUGUAAGAAGAAUUUGGGAGCCUGCAUGAAAGAUGCUAAGAGGUUUCGUCGUGACAUUAAAGAGCCAAUUCCCAGUUGGGAUCCUCUGUGUCGUUAUUCGGUGUCAAAUCCAGUGUCAAUCUCACUUAUCACGUGAUAGUAGAAGAAAUUUAAAUAAACAGCACAUGACAAAUUAAAAAAACAAGACACUUGGCAUAAAUAUAGGAGAGGCACUGAAUUGUCACGGAAAAAGUGACACUGAGAAUCCCGUGCGGUCAAUUCCACUUAACACGCUUCUAAUUUUGAAUAUUCUACUGCGAAGGUUCAGGAAAAAUUGUCAGCAAAUCACCAUAUGCACGGUAACUGCAUGCAUAUCUAUCACUUGUCUAGGUUGUAUUCUUGGUUGGAAUUUUUUUUUUUUUUUGAAUUGGGGACAUCAUAGGUAAAAAAAAAAAAAAAAAAUUACUACUUUGUAAUAUAUAGUUAGUAAUAAGAGAUUACUGUUGAAGUGUCUUUCUAAAUGCUAAUGAUCAGCAUGACAAAAGAACAUUUUGUUUAGUAAUUAAUUGACCAAGCCCUCUGACGUUUGUUGAAAGUGUAGUCUUCCAUUAAAGAAAGGAAAGUAAUUAUAAAGUCUGCAUAAUAUCAGGAUAAAUCAGGGUUGUUAAGACUUCAACCAGUCAUGCUCGCCACCAACCACCACACUCCUGCCAUCCAUCCCUCUAUCUAUCUCAAUUGGGUAGGUGAAGGAGCCAAAUUACCCUACCAGAUCCCUGAUAUUGACCUACUUUUUUUUCCAAAUAUAAUUGUUCCUUUCCCACCCAUCUUUAGCUGACUGCGAUGGGAUUGCUGCCCUUUCAUUGAAGACCAGAUUUACCCCAACCAUGUCACAGCUGUUGUAGGAGUACGAUGUUCUUGGCGGAGAAGGGGCGGUACAAUUGGAAUUGUCAUGCAAUCAUGUGAUUGUUGUAUAUUUCAUAUGAUUUGGUAUAUAUUUACGUUUCUUUCUUUGUCGUGCACAUAAUUUUUGUUCUUGUAUAUCAACUCAAUAAUUUAAUACAAUUACAUUUGUAAGUAAAUGUAUAACGCCUUCUGAAAAAAGUACAACAAUUGUAUCGACUAUACGGCAGGUCUAAUUGCACUGACUGAUCCCUUCUUCUCCGUUCUGCGCCUAUGUGUGAAUCCAGAAACAGGCAACAAUUCGUGAAGAACACUUUUUACCACAAAAUAGACCUUUAUCAUUUUAUACUACCCCACCGUGUGGUUCGCGAUGGCAUGUUUUGAAUUUUGAUCUUCGAAUCAGACCUCCACGUAGAGGUGUCAAAAUGGGUGAUUUGGAUAAUGGAUAUAAGUGAGUCAACCCAUUUAUACCCAUUUAAUUAGAUGGAUAUAAAUGGGUAAGUCAAAAAAUGAUUUGGGUAACCCAAUUACCCAUUUAUAAUCCAUUUAUUUUAACUUUUUGUAAACUCAUUUAAAUUCAUUUUUGGAAACUAAGUUACGGAGGCUCGACAAAAGUAAAAGAAAAAAGAAAACAAAAAGGAAAAAGUAACAAUAAUGACAAAACAAAAGACAGAUUUUUUUUUUUUUGGCAGAUUCCAUAAUUAUCUGUCAUUUUCGAUAAAUUCUGAAAUAUAAACCGGAUUAACGUUGCCACAUGUCCAACCAUGCAUGUAAUAAGUGAAAACAAUAUUACUGUGUUUACGAAUAUUGUCUUCUUAACAGAAUUUAAAUGGAGGGUUUCAUCUGUUCCGUGCUAAAACUAUAAAAAAAAAAAUAAAAUGAAAACCCUCUAUAAUUUUGUAGGAUAAAGAGUAAGCUUUCAUCGACCUUUAAAAUGUGUCAACCAAUAAUAUGAAACUCGACUGCAAAAGACAGAGAAAAAAGAAACCUAUAUAUAUAAGAGAGUGACGAGUGUGGACUAAGCCCACCACAUUUUUUUUCCUCCAAACCUUAACUUUGGUGAUAUGCUAGUGAUGUACGUAUACUAAAUUAAAAUAGAUAUCAUGAAAGUUAAAAGGUGUUUUAUGUUAUUUGACCAAGUCCAUGAAACGAAAAAAAGAAAAAGAAAUGGUAGUUAGUUAAAUUUUAUGAGCAUUGAAACCACUAUUGCAAAACGAAUUUUGUCCUUUAGAUAAUAAAUUUUGGUAUGUAAAUUAAUUUAAUUAGAAAUAUUUUAAAUUAAUUUAAUUAGAAAGAUUUCAAAUUAAUUUAAUUAGAAAGAUUUUACGUCCCAUAAAAAAAAAAAAAAGAGGUUACAGAGCAUCAAGCAUCCAUGAAAUGAACAUUCGUAGCAUGAGUUGGGAACAUGGUUGAUAUUCACAUUAACCAAGAUGUUAUAAUCUUGUAGUGAAAAUCUUUAUUUUCGCAUAGGAAAACCCGUUUGAAAAAAUCAAAAGUUCAAAACCUAAUAGUUUGCAAAUAUAGAUGGAAGUGACAUCAACUAAGUUUAUACGGACUGAAGAAUAAAAAAAAAAAACAACUGAGUUUUUAAACUGAUCAGCCCACAACCUCAACCAAUGCCAAAUUUGGGUUAAAUGGUCCACUUUAGUUUAAUGUUCCUCUUUUUCUUUUUCUUUCUUUUUUUUUGAAGCAAACUCAAAUUUUAUCUGUAAUGAACAAAAAUUUUGAUAAAUCGAUAAACAGGAAUAACAAAAUUCUGAUCUUUCUUAUAAUGUUUUCCAUAUGUUAUACGGAGCGUUUUCUCCUUUUAGUUGAUAAACAUAAACCAAUAUUAUUAAUAAAUUAGUUGAAAAUCGUCCUACACGAUUUACUUAAUAAAAAAAAGCUGCACUAAUGGUAGAAAAUAUACAUAACAUAUGUUAUGCAAAGUUAAGUGGAAUUAUUUGUAAAAUCAAUUGGAUUAAUCUCAAUUAAGACACUACAAAAUAGAAAAUUACCUUGACGAGAUUAACUUGUGGUUUUCGUCAAAGUUGACCAGUAUUUGAAUUGAACUAAUUUAGAUGGCGCUGCUCUAUGCCCUUGAGAAUUGGUUGUGCAAAAUAAGUACUACCAAAGAAUUUCAUUUUUCAAAAUAGUCAAGGAAAUUAAAACAAAAGGUAGGAUAAUUUGAAUCAAUCAGUUCAUUUUCUUCUCAAGUAACUUCAACUUCUUGUGCUUCUCAAGGAUCAAUCAGUUCAUUUUCUUCUCAAGGAUAAUUGUUGUGCUUCUUAAUUCAAUUUCAACUUCAUUUUAAAGGACACUAGUUUUAACUGAUCUAAUUGUAUAGCCGACUAGAUUUGUUUCAAUUCAGUUAAUCGACAAAAUUGGUGACAAAACUUGUUGCCCCUUUUACCGCCCUUAAUAUAGAAGGUCCAUUUCCAAUCGUGCAGCCGACUGGAUUGUGAGUCAAUUUUUUCUUUCCCAUCUCAAUUUCUUGAAUUCUACCCCUUUCCUCCUAAAUUUUUUUUUUUUUUUUUUUAAAAACUUCACUCUAUAUCUUCAACAUUAUCUUAACUGAAGGAGCGAAUGGGGAGGAGGGUUCUAUUUGAUAGUUCAGAAAGAGAAAGUAUAAGUAAAAUGAUUCGGAUUCGAGCUUUCUUAUUUAUGCUAAAAAAAAUUAUCUUAACUAAAUAAAAAAAAAAUCUAUUUUUGAUAGUAAUGCAUCACAUGGUCCUUUUCCCCAAUUUCGGGUAGGAACAGCUGCAACUACUCUUGAACAUUUUAAGGCCUUGAUCAGUAAAGAAAAAAUUGUAGGGUUCAGAUUACGAAGUCUACAUCAAUUUUGACAACGUAGGUGUGAAAUCCACAAAAAAUUAUACUCCCUCUGUCCCACUUUGAUAGUCCUAUUUUCUUUUUUUGUCUGUCCCAAAUUGUAGUCCACUUUCCAAUUGAAGAAAAUGUAGUUGUAUUUUAAUUUUCCUAAAAUGCCCUUAUUCAAUGUAAGUUGUUGUUACUAUAAACCUACCUCAUUUAAUGAGAGUUGAUUCUUUUUUUACCAUCAAUUCAAGUUCCCAUAAAGUUGUACUCUAUUUAAUGUGAGGGUAUUUUAGGAAAAUAGCAAUCUAAAUUUACUUUUCCAACAAAGUUAAUUACUUUUUCUUAAAUUGUGUGAAAAAAGAAACAGGACUAUCAAAGUGGGACGGAGAGAGUACUAAAUUUAUGUUGUGCCCAAAUGUAUUUACAUUCUGAACAAAUGCAUGUAUAUUUUGUUGAAAUGCUUGAAACCCUUCGGGAUGGUUUCACCGGUAACGGAUCCGGCCCAGAUCCCCAUUUCUCGGAGAUUCAUCCGAGACGUAAAGGCGAGGCAGAUCGUAGAUUCGCUUUCAGUUUCAGGCUUCCAGCCACAAAGAUCUAAUGGAUCCACCACGUGCUCUGACAGGCACAAGACUAUUCCAUAAAUAUUGGCCGACGCAACGUUCCUUAUUUCUUGUGGCCAAAUAUCAGAAACAAUCAACUUAUCAAAGCCAGAGCUGAAUCUAACUUCAACAAACAUUUAUCGUUCUACCUUAAUUUAAUUUCUAAUAAAAAUGACACUUACCUAUAUGAUAUGUCCUUCCCAUCUGUGUAACAAAGAUCAAUCUAAACAUUCUUGUGAAUUUCAUAUUUGAAGGCUUCAAAAUUCUAACAAGAUUCUGACAAAGAAAAAUUUUCUCUUUCCUCCUCUUCAUUUCAUAAAUUCCAUCCCUUUUCUACUUUUUUUUUUUUUAAAAAGGCUUCACUCUUAAUCUUCAACAUUAUUAUUAUUAUUAUUAUCUUCAACAUUAUUAGCUUAAGAAGACUUGUGUUAAAAUUAGUGAGUAUACAGAUCCAACUAGAUCAAGAGAAUGUUACGACACUGUCUUUAAAUUUUUUUUUAUUACAGGUGAGAUUUGAACUCUCACCGACCCCGUAUUAAAGGACUUCAAUUCCUCCCGAUGGCCGCUGAGCUUUAACGCAUCAGAUGGUCCAGUUCUCCGAACAUGUGAGACGCUGCAGUAACGGUGAGGAUAGUCGUAGUUUCAGCGACAAAUAGCUAAAGGAUCCACGUGCUCUGGCAGGCACGAGUCGAUUCCAUGAGGAGAUGCUGGGUCCACGCUUUUGCAUUUGGGUUAAUAGCAGUUUGGCGCCCCUAACUUUUGGAUGUAGUCACACAAUGAAAACUAGUCAAUGUUAGAAAUGAAAAAAAGAAAAAGAAAAAAGAGUGUAAUGAAAAUAUUGCCCUUUUAUUCAUGAAAUUAUUUAUAUAACUUACUAUCAUUUCCUUUCAUUGUUAAAAGAUUUAUAUCUUCUCUAUCGUAUCAAUUAUAAAAAAAUAUCAAAGUUAAAGAAAGGUGUUUAGUUUGUAUCCUUCAAAUUCUUCAUGUUGGAUUAAUGUUUGCUUCUAUAUAUGUUUUGUUCAAUUUAUUAGACUUUAAGUCAAACAAAAGGAAUAAAUGACAAAAUACUAAAAAUAAAUACAAUUACCAUUAUUUAAAAUUUUAGAUUAAUAACAUUGUCUUUUUUUUUUUUGGUUUCAAAUUAGUCCAAUAUGAAAUACUUAAUCAAAAUUGCUAAAAUGGUUGAUACGCCUUUUUUUUUAAAAUUAGAGAAGGAAAAUGGACAUUAAAUCUAAUAUUAUUUUUUGAGAAGAAAAGGUAAAAAUAGUAAACUAUUUAAAUGUGGGGUAUGUCCUAACGAGUGCCCGGGUGUUGAUAUUUUGAAAAAAAUAGAAGAGUUAAAAUAGAGAAACUAUUUAAAUGUAAAAUAGGGUAAUAGUUAUUCAUGCGUGCACUUACAUGAUACGUAAGCAUUCAUCAGAAAAAAACCUUAAAACAAAUAAAUAUUCCAAACGAAGAAAAUCAAACUCACUAGCAUUGGCAUCAAAAUGAAAUGAAUGAUGAUUUAGAGAAGAUAUCAAAUUUGAAACUGUCCAUAUAAAUAAUACUCUCUUAUCUUUUGGACUUAUUCGGACUGGGUAAUGCAGUUGAAAAACAAGUAACACUGAUCCUAUUUUUGAAAAAUACCAAGAAAAAAGUAUCCCAACAGCUGUUUAGUUUUUGUGUACUUGUUCAGCCUAAUUCCUCGAGUGUCCUGUUUGUGCUGUACUUCUUCGGAUGCUAUUGUAUCCUCCAAAAGUUAGACAGAUGGGAUGAAUUAGUCCACUAAAACGUGGCUCAAAUGAGUACAUGAAAGACUCAAAAGUCCAGGUACUCAUAUGACAAAGCCAAAGAUUAAUCAAGGCAACAGGAACUAGUAGUGUUUCCAUUCAUUUGUUGAAACACUGGUUUGAUUUGAAAAAAAAUGGAAAAAUUAAAAUUUCAAAACUAAGGCCAGCGUUGAUUUUUUGGCAUUUUCUUUAAUAAGUGAUACAAGAGGACAAAUCAGAAUAAAAAAAAAAUGAAUGCUCACGAUACGAUCGGCUGAUCUGAUAACAAAAAAUAGAUAGCAUUAAAGUGUCUCAAUCGUGAAACAUGUUUCAACAAAUUCCUAAACCCUCUACAGUUUUUUUUUUUUUUUUUUUUUUGGGGGAAGUCUAAGCAUCAGCUGUCGUUAUAAUUAUUGCUACCAUACUUGGACAGUUGGACUAGUAAAUGUAAAUAUGACUAAAUGCCUGGCCAAUGGAUGACAAUACCAACCAACCAACCAAUCUAGAAGCUUGGACCUCCGCAAGGUCCAACGUGUGUUGAUGACUAAAAGCUUGAGCAAAUAUGCAAAAUUACUACUUGAAUUGCAGGCUAAAGCUGAAGUCUAAACCCUUCAAUUGGACUGCGGGAUAAUAAUAUUAUUAUAAAUCUUUAGUUAUAUAUAUACAUAUAUAUAUAUAAUUGAAUGAGAAAAUUGAUGCAAAACAUCCGUGUACAAUUGUUCAAGAAGGACAUGAUUGCUUCCUAUCAAAUUUCUUCUGAUACAGCUGCCCAUUAAGAAAUUUCGUUGAUGAUUGACAGCAUGAAGGUAAAAGAUUGUUCAAAAUGAUUAAUCAUCUUGAAGCCCAUCAUGCAGCUAACGCUAACUGUUGUAACCCUGAAAAUACUGCUCAAACGCACAAUAAAGCAAAUGUUGAUCGUUCUACGCCAGUACAUAAGCAGGAGCAGCUUUUGGGAUCGGUGCGGUGAUUCGCUAUCAUGAGGGACGCUUUCAAGCUUAUCAUCCAGCUAACCUCAAUGAUUGUAGCCCAUCCCCUCAAAAUACCGCUCAAAUGUGGACAGCUUCUCCCUUCAAAUCAAACGCUACUACAAAGCAAAUUUUGAUUGUUCUUCUCCACACUGCAUAAGAAACCUUUUGGGAUUGGUGCUGCGGUGAUUCGCAAUUACGAGGGACACUUUGUUGCGGAAUUGUCCGCACAUUUCACAAUGGUCUGAUAGCCGUUGAGAUAGCUCAGGCGGUAGCAGCUCGUGAGACAAAUUGGUUUGAUUACAAAUUUAGAAAUUCCCGAUUGUAUCCUGGAGGGUGGUACACUUGAUAACAUGUUGCGUGACGAGGAAUAGGUGUUGUCGGCCAGUGCCCUAUAAUUGAGGAUGCCUAUUAUAAUUGAGGAUAUCUGACUGUCCAUAUCAGACGUAAAUGUUGUUGAUGUACGAUAGAUUCUUAACGAUGACAAUAAAUAGGAUGGCACGUGAAUCAGCUUUUCUUGUUAAACUUUCAGAAAUACCCACCCGGUCUUGCUAAACGGUUCUUUCAAUAAUUUGGUUAAUAAUCACUGCUGUGUUUGAAUAGAAGAUUAUUUGAAAUAAUUUUUUUUUUAAAAAUACUGUAGCAUUUUUUUUUUUGAUGUGAUAUAUGUGAGAUAACAAGGUGAUUGAAAAACGUAUUGAUGGUUCAAGUAAAUCAGUGUGUGUAAAUAGAAUGCAUUCCAAACACACUAAUUUUUCUUUUUUACCAAAAAAAAUAAAAAUUGAAAAAAAAAAUCAUUUUUUAAAAGCUUUAAAAAAUUACAUCAAUCCAUGCCAAUGGUCCGAAACGUUCCCGGGAUUUGGUACCAGUAAUUAAGUUCACCCCUUCUCAAAUUACCCUUUCUCGUCGAUCCCACGGAAGAUUAGCUGCCGAAGAAUUUUGGCCCGGUAGUUCUUUGACUUUGAUUAAAAAGUAAUUAAUUAAUGUUUUUCUAAUGAAGCUCAUCUAGAACAAAACUUUUUCGUUUUCCGUGCCAUCCGAGAUCACCUAUAUAAGUUCCUUUUUCACGCUUUUAUUUUAAGUUUGACGAUUAUGCAACAGAAAUUAAUACAUGUAGUGGUCUGUUUGAUUGGGUGUAAGAUAUUUUCCCUGGAAAGAAAAUUUUUUCAAAGGAAAUAAAUGCUUUCCUAUUCGUUUACCGGUGUUUGGUUGACUAGUUGUUGGGCCUCCUAGAAAUUUAAGCCCAUUAGAUCUCGAAUAUCCAACCCACAACAGCACCUUGCAUCCGAACAUACAUUUUACCAGACAACCAAAUUCAAGAAUUUGGCACCAAUAUUUUAGGCAAUAGGUUUGACAUUCAGCAUUUGAGAUGAAUUUUCAAUUGAGAAACAAUUUCCAAUUUUUUAAUUAAAAAAACGUAAAAUUCAUAUAUUCAAAUAUGACCAAAAUGCAUUAUGACCACGGCAUUAGCCCAAUUCAUUUUUGACUUAUCCAUUUAUACACAUCUAAUUAAAUGGAUAUAAAUAGGUUGACUCACUUAUACCCAUUACCCAUUUUACCCAACCCAAACUUGUCCAAAUCACCCAUUUUGACACCUCUAGUCUGGCUGCCUAACAAGAUAUUGCCAUUAAGAAACGAAGAAUACGAAAAGUAAUAUGAAUUGAAUCGUAUUACUAAGAAGGAGGAGCUUGUCCUCAAGAGGCUUUUAUUAGUUUCCACAAAUUUAGCAAGCAGUAAACAUCACAAAAUGGUCAAAGGAACCACCAGUUUUUGCUAAAGUUGAUCGGUUUUUCAGAUUAAAAAAAAAAUAGAUUAACUUUUUUUUAUACACUAUCAGUGUACAAAUCAGUUAUGCAAAAUCAUUUUAAAAGGUUUUGGCAAGACAAAUUUUUUUAAAAAUUUUGGGCCAUAUUACAAGUAUGCCACCAAAACAAACACUACAUUCAAUUUCAGUCAAAAGCCACAAAAAAUAUGUCGGAUUUCUAAGGCGUUCUUUUUAAAAAAAAAAUAAAGAAAAAAUUGCCAUGCCAAAUUUUUUUUAAUGAUUUUAAUGAACGCCACACUGUGGGCUUCCUUUUUUUCACCCUUUUGUCCAUCGGCAGAAUCUUGUGUUAUUGGUGGCUCAGCCCAAAAAGAACUAGAUUGGUUAGGUAUAUAUAACUGAUGGACUAAAUUGGUUAGGUAUAUAAAAAGUUUAGGGACUAUUUUCGCUUCUGAUAAAUAAUUUAUGGACUUUUCUGGCCUUUUGCUCCUUUUAAAAAAUAAAAAAAAAAUUGCAAAACCUUAAUUAUAGGUGAAAUAAAGCACUGGGUUUUUUAAUUCAUUGAUUGAGUAAAUUGCAGUGUGGAACUUGUUCAAACAAUCCGUACAAAAUUGGAUGCAAAUGGUUGGAAUAGCACUAAAGUAGCGAGAAGAUGGGUGGCCAGAAAAUUGGAACUUUUAGUUUAGAAAGUUUUGUGGUUAUUGCAGGUCGAAUUCAGAAGAAAAGGCAAAAAGCCAGCAAACUUGAUUUUGAGGCCUUUGUUAACGUCAAUAAUGUCGAACAUCAACUUCCAGUUGUCCCAACAUUUGAGGAAUUGCUUCACCUAAGUUUCAUAUCCGUGAUAAAAGUAGUAUGUUUUAUUUCUCGAAUUUCCUCAAAAUGUGUGUUCAUUAAUCUUCUCCCUGUUUUGUUGAGUUUCUGCCACAAUGUAAUAUUCCUAUAAUUGGCUAAUUCCUUUUACAAUAGCUAAACAGGAUAGAAUCUCAGUAACUUGAUCACGUAAGAAGUAGAUAACAUAUAUGCUUAGCCCCAAACUUUCUCGUGAUUAUUUAUAUGGUACCAUUUACGGUUCUAUGACUGAAACCAACCAUCUUUGCUUCAUAUAUCUUCGUUCUUAUGAGUAACAAUUAAUCCUUCUGGGUGCUCGAAGGAUGGCAGGUUCCGAAUUAAAGAACGUAAGAAUAAAGAAGUCUUUGCAAGCAAUUAUUACUGAGCUAUUCAAGUUGCAGCAGCGUAACGGCGAUUGAAAUAUGGAUUCAUCUCUUUAACGUUAACCUUCUUCCCAAAAAUUUCACUUUGCCAAAGUUUGGUUGAAAUUCUUUUUAGAGUUAAUCGAGUUUUAGACUGCCGGUUUGCAAGGAAAUAUAUGUCAUGAUUGAUCGAGCUGUGUGUUAGCAGCCGAAUAAUAGAUUUUUAACACAGUCCUCGCGAUUUCUAGCAGCACGUGAAGGUUAGAUGACGGGAGGGUCAUGUUGAGUUCGGUGAUAAGAUGAAAGAAACUGUAAGUAAGAGAUUAUGAGUUCAAAAUUUUUUACUUACAAAUAGGAAGAAGAAGUAGAAGAGAAGGAAGAACGCUGUAUAAAGAGUUUAAUGGAAGGCAUUCUUGAUAUUAUAUUUGUAUAAUUAUCUUAGUUUUUUUGUUGGGUCACGAAAAAGAUUGAAGCUUCAAGAAUUCUUAGAGCUUGUUUGGCUUGCCACCAUUAAAUGCCCAAUUUAAGCAGCGGAACCAGCAGAAUUAAUGGAAGCCUUAUAGAUCUAUAAAUUCGAAUUGAAAAUGGGGAAAACACCUUUUAUUCAUUUUGAUGUGUCAAACAAAAAGGGGCCAAUAUACAGCUAUUUGGACGUGCAUUCAAUGUGAGGGUGACAUGCUGCCACGCCCAACAGGAUUUGCCACUGUCAAAGCCUAUGCACAGCAAUCACUGUCGAAGUGUCCAACAAACAGCUAAUAGAUCAGCCUCUCUCUCUCCAUCCAUAUAGUGGGAUUAAUUGGGUCGUACGGUAUUAUCAGUCCAUGGGCCCUAGAUACCCACUAUGAGGACCAAAAAAAAAAAAAAAAAAGCAAGUAGAUCAGCGACUGGACCGCUACGCUGAUGCAUCAUGUCCAACUGCUCACUAACUUGUUCUUCAUGUGAUCCUUUACAUUAACACCAAUAAAUAUGAAUGUUCUUAGUUUUAAGCAGACAAAACUUUGGCCCAUUGGGUAACUGUCUUUUGAUGGAUGAUGAACUUGGGCCAAACCCGUCAUAUGUAUUACUUUUGGAUUAGCUGAGUUCCUAAAUUUUUAAAAUCAGAAUCUGAAAAAUAGAUUUGUUAUAGGCUCUUGGUCUUAGCACUUUUAUUAAAGCUUCCUAAAAAGCACGAACUGGAAGAAAAACCAGCGGGUGGCAUCACAACAUGGGUUUUUCUAAAUGAAAAGUGGAUUUUCCACAAAGGCUGUUGAGAACCGGCCCUAUCUGUAAAUGGGCCUCACGAGAAGAUGGUGAACUGAAAAAUCUAUACCCGGACGUCUAAAUAUAAAAGGAACAAAAAGUGGUGUGUUGUGCUCUUCUUCUCAUCAAUCAAUCAUCAAUGCCAUGAUCGAAAUCGUGCUUGACUGAUCAUGGAAGCUGUGAUAGCAUAAAGCCCAAGUCGAUGAUAUGCAGUUCAACUCGACACAACUCAGUUCACCUUUAACGUAUACUACCACCAUUGAUGGGAUUAGGACGGGUACAAUUAAAAUUUAGUACAAUUAGUGCGUUUGUCUGUCGUACUUCUUUUGUAAAUUAAUGCAUGUUUACGAAAAAAAAAAAAAAAAAACUUUUGUCGGUCAAGUACCGGUCGACAGUGCUAGAUUAAGGUAGGGGAGGAGAAAGAAGGAAAAAGGUAAAAAGAAACAUUUUUGUGGGUUUUCGAAGUGUAUAUUUUAAAAAUUUUGAAGUGUUUUAAAAGGUUACUGUAAAUAAAAUUGUAAAAAAUAAAAAAUAAAAAAAUUCUCUAUUAAAAAUACGGUAAAAAACUCGUCAUCCAUCCAAAUGAAUGAAGUAGUUACAAUGUACAUCAUCAUGAACAAAGUUUACAUACACAAUAAUAAAGUAAUGCUAGCAUUUACCAAAUUCAUGUAACAAUUGGACAAUCGCACCGACCUCAAACCCUUUUCCUUCCAGGUGGAUGGGACAAGUUACCUCCAGGCACGCCUUAUUAGCUCAACCAUCUUUCGUAGUAGGGUAUAUACAUUAUUAUUAUUUGCAAUCGAUGGAUGAAUUUCGUUUUUUUACUCAAAAAAAUUUGACCAAAUCCUGUAAGAUCUUUUAAUAAUAAUGAUACACUUUUAUCUUAUAAUUAAUAAAUCUUUCCUACACUGACGGUGUAUACGCUAUCAUCGUUGGAUUCAUGACAUGUGUACAAACGUUGAAUUUCAAAUUCAAAUUUUGCAUAGUUGUCAAUCAUCCAACGCUGAUAGUAUAUACACUGUCAGUGUAGGAAAGAUUAAUCCAUAUAUAUAUACUAGCACAUAGAGGUAUCACCAGACCAAUCUGACUUGAUUCAUUUUUAAUCAUCAGCCAGCAGUCAACCUUAAUUUCUUCUUCUGCUCUAGAUCUUGUUUUUUGUUGUUAAUUUAUUAUUUUGAUUUGAAAAGUAUCGAGAAAUUUGCAUUUGGAAUCAUAAAGGUGCCGAAUCCGGAGUUCAAAUGUGUGAUUUGACGCUGCCAUUUGACAAGUUUGCCACAUGCACUGGGAGUAGAAGAGAAUAAUUCAAAAGCACCAAACAGGUUCUAUCUGUAUCUUAAGAGCUAAGGAAGCCAAUGAAAUAAACAAUAUGGAAACAUUUUUAGUGAUGAUUGCUGAGUUAUUGAAUUGGUCAAGUUGCGUGUCUUAGUUCAAUAUGCUUGGUUAAAUUAAAAAAAAAAAAAACCCAAUAUUGUCAAACGUACAGACCACGGAGGUUUUUAUCAUGUAACGUAAUGAUGGAAGUAUUAUUUUCAAUUGAUUAUUUUAAUGGAUUUUGAUUUCAGAUAAUUUAGUUUUUGUGAUGUUCCAGUUGCUUUUAUAUUCUAAUUAUAGAUUUUAUAGUGAUAAAAAAAAACCUAAAAUCUAUAACGAGUCAAAAAGUAAUUUUUGCUGAUUCUAAUUACUCUCCAUCAUGAUCUGUUUCUAUAAUCAGAUUUUAUAAAAUCUAAAGUAAUCGAGAACAAGUCCUAUAUAUAAUAAAUAUGGGCUGAUAGAUGGAAGUAAAUCUCGGUCAACAUUAUAGAUUUUUUUUUUUUUUUCGAAAAAAUAGAAAAUCGUAGAUCUAUCAUACUUCUAGAAGUGCAUUCUCCUUGAAAAUUCAAUAUGUUCACAUCAUCUUUUUUUAAUUUAGUACUGUAGUAUAUUUGCAUUCUUGUUUGAAUUUAACGUUUCGUGUAGGUUUUCUUUUUUUUUUAAAAAAAAAAAAAAAAGUUUUGGACAUGCACUUGUUGGAUUCUGACUUCGUCUAGAAAUGGGAGGAAUCGUUUUGGUAUUCCUAUUCCACAUGGUGGAAAAUGUAUGGUUUGGUUCGCAGGAAACAACUCGCACGAUAUCUUUUAGUAGUACUAUUAAACAAAACAUGAUCAAGGAGUUUCCAGGAGACAAAGCACACCUAGAAAAACAAAGCUGAGAAACAACCUCUGAUUUCCCCGGAACCAAGAGCAAUUAAAUUAACCACUUGGACGCCUUUCUUUGAUUUUUCAGCACUCAAGUGAUUUAACAGCUGUAAUCUCCUAAUUAAUAAAGCCAAAUCAAGAGAUACAACAGCCCACAAACAAAAGCUGCAGGAGGAAUGCAAUUAAUUAUAGCCCGUUGUAGUUGUUGCUGUUGACAUGGUCCUAAUGUUGUUGAUUUUUCCUCCGGUCGAUUUGCCUUUUCUGUCUAUUAGAAUUUUAAGUAGAAUUAGAAUUAGAACUAUAACUCUCUUUUUUUUUUUGAGAAAAAUCAAAAUAGCAGAUGUUAUUCAAUACAAUAAUGCUGUUGAUAAGUUCUAUUAUAGCCUCUCUCCUUUUUUUUUUUUGGGACGAGAAUCAAUAGUGAUUUCUCACGUACCUCUUUGAUAAAAUUUUAGUUUUAAAAUAUUCGUCUGUUGUUAAUUUUUUCUGAAAUUAGCUCAAGUGGAAUGAUACUAAUGGUGAUUGAGUUGGAUUUAUCAAAAUUAUCGAUUAACGAGCUUGUUGCCAAAUCAUUGGUCAUCGAGGCAUUUGCCGCCCUUGACGAAUAAUAACAUGUACUAUAUAGUUUUCAAAGCCAGAAUAAAAGAUGCCUAAUAUCUGACUUUCAUUCCUUCCGUUAACAUUUUCCUCUCCAUUUUCUUGACGUGUCUAAUAUCUAAUCCUUUUUUUCCUAGUUGCUACUACAAUUUAUUUCUUCACCCCCGUCGGCCCAGAAAAAGAUAAUUUAUUACCCAAAUUGCCAAAUUUCAUGAUGAGUUUCCUUUGCUUUAGCUUAGGUGGGACUGUUAGAUGAUGUAUCAGCGUCAAACUUAAAUACGUGACAGGGAUAUUGACAUGCAGACAGUCAACUUUGUAUUUCGUGUCCAUUCAAUUUAGACGAGAAAUAAAUUAAUUUAUAGCAAUCCUCAAUCUUAACACGUAAGCUGGUCAAUGAGAAUCCACCAAUUUCCCAAAAAAUCACAUAAUAAUCCAUCUGCAAGACAUCGAAAGGUUAAACUACUACAUGGGUAAGAAUUUUUAACCCUCUCUACUUUAAAAUUCAUGCUGGAAUCCGAAAGUUAUCUUCUAGGAGGCAAAAGGAAUACUUUGUGCAAAGAUUUCAUCGCUUGGGCACGUAUAGAUGCUUAUAUAUAACUAGCGAUGGAGGCACACUCUCGAUGCAUGUGUAAUUUAUUAAAAAAUAUCUUUAAUUGCAAGAAUUACAAAAAUAAUGCAAGCAAAAAUAAAAAAAAUCGUUGGUAAGGAAGAAUGUGAGAAUUGGAGGGAGGUAGUUUUAGUGGACAUCAGUUGAUAAUAGAAAUAAGAAUUAAUAGAUAAUAAAGAUAAGGAUUAAUUGAUAUAGAGCUAAGGAUAAAUUUAAAAAUAUACAAAGCUAAUACCAAGUUAAUUACCUAUACAGACUUUAAUUAUUGUAAAGAUAUCUCUCGAGAUUUUUCGAAACCGCCCAAUCUUUUUGAUUUAUCAGAAAUUUAACAUUUUCAUUAUGCUCAUGUUGUCAUGAAGACCCUUGGUACUUUGAGGAAAAAAUAGUGCUAACCCAGUUCUGCAAAUUGAUUUUAAUGAAGUAUCUCCCGAAUUUCAUACAUUUUGAGUAAACUUCAGAGGAUUACAAUUUUACAGCUGACAAGCCUUAGACAAGUAUUUUGACGCAAGAAUUUAUUCUUCCAACUUUGUCGUUGUGCUGAAUAACACAGCCCGAGUUAAAGCCUAGCCUUGGAACAAAUUUUUGGCUGCUUUUUGAAGUAUUUGACACCGUGUCUCUGUUUUGGCGGUUUCGUUUUCACUCUCUUCGUUACCUGUUGAGUGUAGACUUCACCGGAUGACUAAAUAAAUUUGCUUCUUAGAUUCUAUCGACAAUAACAAUUCCUUCAACCUUAAUUUUUCUUGUUCUAGUUUUUACCUUUUUAAUCUGUUCUUCUUUCCAUCUAUAUUUCCAAUUCUGCAUUGCCUUCGUCCAGCUUCAAUUCCUCGAUUCUGUAAAGACUGUAUGUGCGUCAGUUGUUAAAGUUGAGAAGGGAAAAGCAGAGAAUCCGCAUGGGAUUCCUGAGCACUUUCUUCGGAAUUUUUGGUUUCUUGGUCGGGUCUCUGAUUGGAAUCGUGUUGGGUUUUUAUCUCUUCAUCUAUGCGGAGCCUGAACACGUUGAGGUGAUCAGUUAUAUAAAGUUCUUGUAGUUCUUGAAUUCCUUUAUUAUUAUUAUUAUUGAAUGAGUUUAGAACUGUUUUUUGAAAGUCUUGCUAAAUUCUGUCUGAUGAUUUCUUUUAUGGUUACAAGGUGUAUUGUUAUUUGAUGGGUUUUCCUGAUUUUCUGUUAGUGCAUUCAAUUGUUAAGUUUUGCAUGAUCAUGCGUUUCAGGGUUCUGUUCCAAUGUCUUUUGCCUUGUGUUAUCAUCAGCUUCAAAUCCCUUGAUGCUGCUAAGAAAUUUGGAGGUUCUAUCUGAUGCAUCGGUUAUUUUCUGGUUUUUUCUCCCCCCCAAAAUGAACAUGUUUCUGAACCUUUCCAAUUAGGUGAAGGAGCAUGAAAGAUUAUAUUUGUUGUUUUGUAAGUUUAUCUUGAAUGAGAUGUAAAAGGAACUGUCAUACCAGCUGUUUCCAAUUAAGAAUUAGCCUCUUCUUGCUAUUCCAAUCUCUCUUCCAUGUGACUGGAGGAGGUAUGCACCAGAUGUUGCAGGGGAGAUAUUCUAUUGGAAGCCAAAUCCCAUUCUUAGUCCAACAUGAAACUCCAAACAUCUAACUGCCCGCUUUUAAACAUCUAACUGCCUGCUUUUAAAGGGCUUACACUUUACACCAAUGACUGAAACAAUCCAAUUCCACUGUUGCAGCAAUAUGGAAUAACCUGCAUUUCAAUGCCAUUAUGUGCUGAUCCUCAUUGAAUGAAAACAGUUCACCUUGGUACAAAAGAAAAUAAGUAUGCAAGAUGGAGAUUGUAAUGAUGAUUGUUGUGUAUAAAGAAAUUAGAUAAGGCUUAAUCAACAUUGUCCGAUUGCUGUCUAAAAGUUGCAAUAAUUUUGUGUAUUUGUAUCAUGCAUAUGAAAAUUUUACUGCUUAUUUUGUGUGGCAAAUUCAAGUGAUCCUUUUGCGGUCAGUCAAUUUUUGCAUGCUUUAUGUCUUUAGAUAUCCCAUUUCCGUGUUCAAAUGCUUGGCAGAACAACACAUGAAGAACAUGAAAGAUGUUUUUUUAAAUGCUUUAUCUAAACAUGGAUAAGAACAGAUUGGCCUAAUUGAGGCAAUUAUUUGAAUUUACAGGAUCCCAAAGGCAAGGCACUUGACAAGCUCGAUACAACUGAAAUGCAAGAUCUUAUGCCUGAAAUUCCAUGGUGGGUGAAGAAUCCUGAUUAUGAGAGGGUAAGAUUUUGUCUUCAAUUCUUCCAGAUGAGGCUGUUUACUUAAUUUCUUUUAAUCACGUUUUCUGAUUUCUUGAUCUUUGAACCAUCAUUGUGGGUCACGCAGGUAGACUGGUUAAACAAAUUUAUUCAUGACAUGUGGCCUUUCAUUGAUAAGGUAAUUUUGUCAUGAUUAAGACUUUAUUGUUCGUGAUCAGAAAUAGUAAAUUCGGGUUCAUUCACUCUACAGGCAAGCCAUGGAACCAUUAGAAGCAUAGCAGAGCCUAUAUUUGCUGACUACAUAGGGAUGUGUAAGAUAGAAUCAAUUGAAUUUGAAAAAAUAAGCCUUGGAACUCUUUCACCAACAAUUCAUGGUGAGUUUUUCCUUUAGAGUUUUGGUGGCAAAUGUAGUUGCUGCUUCAUGUGCCCUUUGAUUCUGUUAUGUCACAGUUCAAUAGCUUCUUUUAAGUACUAGGGCAUAUAUAGUCACGUCUCUUUGAUGUUUAAAAUCGUUAGAAAAUUUAAUCAUGAUUUUCAGUAUAUGCAUACUCAUUGACUGGAUGUUAUCAUGUCUUGACAGGUCUUAAAGUUUACGAGACAAAUGAGAGUGAACUAGUAAUGGAGCCAGCAAUUAAGUGGGCGGGAAAUCCUGACAUAUUAGUCACCGUAAAGUUAGCAUCUUUAAGAAUCUUAAUCCAGGUUAGAAGAGCACAGAAAAAAUAAGACCUUACAACAGCGAAUUUAUGUGGUUCUAGGAAGAGGUCAUUUUUGUUGAAGGAUUGACGUUGCUUCUUACCAGUUGGUGGACAUACAAAUUGAAGCAGCUCCACGUAUCACAUUAAAGCCUCUCGUUCCAACACUUCCAUGUUUUACAAACAUUGUUGUAUCCUUAAUGGAGAAGGUAAGUAGUGUUUAUGGCUUCAUGAAUUCAUUCAGUAGUGCAUCAGCAAGGGAAAAUGCAUUUAUCUGAUGAUCAUCUUUAUUUUGUGCAGCCACAGGUUGACUUUGGAUUGAAAGUGCUGGGUGGAGACAUCAUGUCUAUUCCUGGCCUAUAUCGUUAUGUUCAGGUGGCAUUUUGACGAAUUUGUUAUGGACACGAACUUGGGGGAUGGGUGUCACAGGAUAAAUUCUUGUCAGAUAUAUAAUCUUACAGAAGUACCAUAAGUAUUCACCUCAAACUUCUUCCUUUUCUGGUAGGAAACUAUCAAAAAACAAGUAUCAAGCCUCUACCUGUGGCCACGGUUCCUUGAAAUUCCAAUUCUUGAUGCUUCAACGUAAGUUGCUUCUUGUGCAUCAUACAAUCUUGCUAUUGGAAAAAUGAUGUGUAACUUGUGAAAUGUUGUCGUGCAUUUAGUACAAUUUGUGGGUCAUAUACUAAGUCCUUUGCCUCCUUUUGGCUCAUACUUCCUUCUUACCUUGCAGUGUGGCUGCUAAGAAGCCUGUUGGGAUAUUACAUGUAAGAGUUGUACGAGCCAUGAAGCUCUUGAAGAUGGACUUGCUCGGACUUUCAGAUCCUUACGUUAAACUAAGUCUGAGUGGAGACAGGUUGCCCACUAAGAAAACUACCAUCAAGAAGAAGACCUUAUACCCUGAGUGGAAUGAGAAUUUUAAGCUAAUUGUGAAGGAACCUCAGUCUCAGUUUCUUCUUAUAGAUGUCUAUGAUUGGGACAAGGUACACACCCUCAGUCUCAGUUUCUGUUACAUUUAGUUAAUAUUGCACCUCUUGAGUUUAACCAAUGAAUUUGUUAACUGAUAAAUAUUUCUAUAUCUAAAAUGUUGAAGAAAGUAUAGUAGUGAAAGCGAUUUUUCAUUGAAUUUUACACAGUUAAAGUUUAACCAGAGGAAAUGUGAUUUUAAUCUCUUGGAUGUCAAUCGGAUAUAGCUUCAAGGAGAACAGACUCUUUCUUUUCUUGGAAGAUAAUAUUCCAAGGUUCUUUACAUCAUCAGGCUCCAUUUGCAAGCUGACUGGUUAAGAACUGAUCAUAAUUUAUUUUUCAUAGACUGCCAUUCAUGGUCAAUUUGCAAUCUCAGGCUAGCUAAUACAAGAAGGUGAAGUCCACAAGAACUGUUUGGAGAUAAAUUAAUUGAAACAGAUAUAUGCAGUAAUUUGUACUUUUAACCCUUACAAUCAUCUUUUAGAAUUUCUGAUACAUGCAAGUUGAUAAAUGCUGUGUGUUCAAUAAAGUGCUAAAAUGGGACGAAGAGUUGAAAUAAAAUUCUUUCUGUUGGAUUGCACUUUGAUGGAGGUUGGAGCACAUGACAGGCUGGGAAUGCAAGUUUAUCCUUUGAAGCUUCUAAAUGCAAACGAGACAAAAGAGUUGACACUAGACCUGCUUAAGAGUACAGAUAUAACUGAUCUUCAUAAUAAGAAGCAGAGAGGCCAAAUUGUGCUUGAGCUGAGGUACGCUCCUUUCAGAGAAGACAGUGCUUCGUUUAGCGGGCCUCUUGACAGAUUCAGUAGGAAAGCAAGCAUAAUUGACACUAAAUCCAGCAAUGAGAGUUACAGCGGAGCUGGUUUACUUUCGGUUACUGUUUAUGGAGCUGAGGAUGUAGAAGGGUCACGUCACAACAAUCCAUACGCUCUGAUAAUUUUCCGAGGAGAAAAAAGGAAAUCAAAGGUGAGUAACGUAGCAUGGUUUCUUCCUUCGUUUCACCUAUUUGCCUUGGAAAUCAAGUCAUUCGACAAAACACGAAGAGUAUGUAAAGGUGUUAUCUUAUGCUUCUCUUUUCUCAUUUGCUUUCUGUUUAUUAUUGGGGUUAGCUCAUUUUUGCUACCUUGAGAAAGCACAGAAGACACAUCCAGACCUUUCAAUACAAUAAUACUGUCUCCUACUUAAUACUAGCAGCGAAUGAAGCUAGAAAAUGACUAGCGUUUUAGUAUCAUUUCAGCUGCUAACAAUGAAGAAAAUUUUGUUCCCUCAGAUGAUCAGGAGAACUCGUGAUCCAGCAUGGAAUGAAGAGUUCCAGUUUACGCUGGAUGAGCCUCCUGUUUCUGAGAAGAUUCGUGUGGAGGUCAUGAGUAAGCGUACACGAUUCGGAUUGCAAUCAAAGGUAAUCAAAUCCAUCACCAUCCCAUUCUGAGUCUUUUUGGUUCCCAUUUAAUUGUUUAGCAUCACUGAGUAUCUUGAAUUGUUUUGUUUCUGUACAGGAAUCACUGGGAUAUGUGGAAAUCAACCUUGCUGAUGUUGUGAACAAUGGAAGAAUGAAUGAAAAAUACCAUUUAAUUGAUUCAAAGUAUGGACAGAUACAUGUUGAAUUACGAUGGAAAACAGUAUAAGUGCAAUUGUCUUGAACAUGAUGGAUGUUCUGGUAAAAUUUCAGCUAUAGCAACAUCAUUAGUGCGAAUGAAAGGUCGGCUACUGGAAGAUAAAUGCUCGAGAUUGAGUGCCAAAAGUUACGUUGUUCCGUUUGGGCAUUACUACAUUAUUGGUCAAAUUCUUGAAAGGGAAAAUUGCAGAAACCUCCCUUGAGGUUUCUGACACUUGCACUCACCUACCCUGUGGUUUAAAAAAUUACACUCACCUCCCCUAAACUUACUGACUCUUUGCAUAUUCAGUCCAAGCGAUUAAAAUAUUGUUUUACGGAGUGAAAUGAGAUAUUUGUGCCAGAUUUGCCCUUUGUGCUACAUGCCAAAUAGUAUUAGCAAAGGAAUGAUAAAGUAUUACAAAUUAAUUAACAAUUAAUAAACUUUAAGGGAUGUAGUUUUAUAGGCAAAUAGAUAUUACUUAUUCAAAGUACCAUCUCUUUAUAGGAUUUUGAAAAUCAUAAGAAAGGUUACGUGAUAAAGCAUUAAAUUGUAAAGUGGUCAAAUGCCAUGCAUAAUAUGUUUAUAAAUCUUAAUCACUUCAGUUAUUUUCAUUUCUAAACAAAGGCUUCUCCUCGACAUUUUCAGAUUGUUCCGUUACAAAAAACCAUUUACACUUUAGUUGAAAUUACAAGAGGGUUUUUGUAUAAUUUUUGAAACUAUAGGAGUAAAAAAAAGUGUAAUUUACCCAAAAAAAAUGCCACAAAUUAUUCAUACAGGAUUGUUAUAGUAAUGAGAAAUUACAGAAAAUAAGAUUUUUGUAUAUACUUAGAUAUCUACCAAAGCGUAAAUAAAUGGUGAUAUACUCCAUCGUCCAAGGCAUUAUUCGUUUUGUUACAUUUCCCAUAUAGGAUACGGGGCGUGACAGGUUACCUACAUUACACCUAUUAUUAUCGGAGCACCAACCGUAUCCAGUCUCAUUCUCCAAUAGUGGGCCUAGAUCAAUGAUGCCCAAUCUUCAGAAGUUGUAAUUCUCCAGAUAAGGAUCGAUUAGUGGAUUAAUCUUGGAUCGCCCUUGGGCCUUGGCUCAUUGCUGUCCUGCAGCAAAAGGUUUUCUGUCAGACUGACAGCCCUUUCUCUUUCUUUCUUUUCUUUUUGUGUAUUUUCUCUUGCAAAACAGUCAGUGUCGCUGUCCUUUAAUUGAAAAAGGAACCGUGACAUUUUAUUUUCUUGCAAGAAAAUAUUUGAAAAUUUAGGAACUCUAAAUACAUUUGAUUUCUGGAUUUCUUCUCUUGUUCACCCAAAUUAUAUAUUAUAUAUAACAAAAAAGAAACAUGAAUUUUUCAGGAUCAAUUGGAAGAUGUCAGAAAAGAAGAUAAAAGAGUGCCAUUCUUAUCACACUGCUUUUCUGGCAAAUUGUGGAUUGUCUUUUCAUCUUUUCUUCCUCUCCUAUACUUAUCUUUCUCCUAUGGAUUGGCUGGUUCAUCCGAUUUGGUCAACUUCACAACCCGAUCUAAAAUUCAACUAUUAAAAACUCAGGCAUGCAUCGAACCAUUUUGCCCCUAGAAUUAUUGCUGCAUACUAAGUACAAGAUCACUAUAAUUUUAUGUUUUAGCUCAAACAAAACCUGCCAAAUGCGUCAAUUUGGACCUGGGAUGUGCUGAUAGAACCAGGAAUAACAAAAUAGUCACCUAAACCGGAUGUAUUCGUUCGUUUGUGGCUUUUCUAGUACAUUAUUAUAGUCAAGACUCGAGGGCAAUUAUGCUCCUGAUAAUUCUAAUGUUGUGAAAUUGUGAAUCAAAUCGUGCUGACGAUUUCCAGUGAUCUGUUAAUGAAAUUUGCUUAUAUAUAUGUUUUUUAUUUUUUUUAAAAAAAAAGAAAAAAGAAAAGUCUGUGGGCACUGAUGAAUUGAUGCGUGGUGAUGGUCCAACUUGGCUCAUGCAAUAUUCCGGCGAUAACUCAGGUGUCAGUGCGCUCGUGUCUCGUCGCAAUUAGCCCUACAUCCCAUCAUUCAUUAUUGUCUCACACUAGUGUCGCAACGAGCCAUCAUUAUUUACCUUUGGGGGAUAAUUUAAUUCAAUACUACCAUACCUCAUCAUAAUUCGACGAAAAAUAUGUAUACAACCAAAUUUACAAAAAAAAAAAAAAAAAACGUGGUGGAAACGUGAUACAUGGAAUUAGAGGUUUUUUUCUUUUUCCCCUUUUUCUUCGCUGUUCAUUCAUGAACUCUCGAGCAAAGCGAGAGAAAUUGAUCAAUCUUCUCAUAUUGUUGAACUCGACUUUUAUUAUUCCUUCUCUACGUUAUUUCUUUGUUUCUCUUCUAUUCUUCCACAAACUCCCUGCAGUAGACACUAAUCUUGAGAACAGUUUGAUUUGUGAAUAAGAUUAAAGAAAUUUAAAUCACAAAGAAACAACUCUAAGUUAUGAUUAAGAUCCAAAGAAGAAUUAAAGAUUCUGAAUUCAAUUUCUCCCUUCUCCACUUCUUAAAUUAAUCCCACCUUUCUCUCACUAAAAAAAAAGAAAAAGAAAAAGAAUUAAGCUGGAUCUCAAUCCUCAAGAUGAACUUAAUUCAUCUCUCAUCUCGUGACAUCUUGUCAUAAACAAUGCGUUGCAGGUGGUUAAUUAAUUACCUUGCCUAUGCAUUCAAGCACGUAUAUAUGCACACACAUAAAGUAUGAUUCUUAUCUUGCUCUAGUGCUCUUGAAACCAACUAAUCAAAACUUUAAUAUUUGAUUAAGUACUAACAACUUGUCACUAGUUAGUGGAGGUGGGAACUUCAUUCCAUUCACGAAUAUUCCUGACCAAAAUUAAAAAGUCUUCGCAAAAAUACAUGGUUUUGAAAUUUCCACAUUCUACUUCUCAACUAUAGAGCAUAUCCAUGUGAUGCUGUUACCGAAGAAGAGUCAGUACGGCCAAAGAUUAAUCGGCCUGAGUUUUCCAAUCGGCCCCUGUAUAGCAUAUGGCACAAUACCUAUUUGGAUGGUCAUGAUAUUCCAUGCGAAUUGCGACAUGAAUAAUUAUAAGCUUUGAGGAAAAUUGGACCUUGCUGGGGUGCAAGAUAUGGAUUAGGUUUGACUUGCUGAUGGUAAUCAUCCAAGCCACCACACAUGUGACAUCAUGAUAAGAAGGAAAAAGGAGGCUUCAUAAUCAUGGUGGGAUGGAUCGCAAUAUUGAAGGGUCACCCUCAGUACCAGUGUUCGAUCUAUUUUGUUUGCUACUUUUUAUAUAUUGAAUUUGAUAUAUAUAUAUAUAUAUAUAUAUAGUGUGUUUAGCCAUUUCCAAUGUUUAUUUAUUCAGAAAUUAACAUGUUCAGUACGAAGCUAAUUAUGUAAAUUUCAUUUUGUAGAGCUAGUUUUCCAAAAUGUUUGCAAAUGAUGUCUCAAGUCAGCAUCGACGUUACUCGAGUAAAGAUCAUGUCUGAGGUCACCGGGCUGGCCCCCAGAAAUAAAAUGAAUAAUGGUUCCAAAAAGUUCAGGACAAAGCUGACUUACAUACAUACAUGAGGCCUCUUACUUGCAAAACACCUCAAAUCCAGAAAAAAAGAACAUUUGAAAAAAUAGAAAAGAAAUUUAAUGAAGAUUGCCCAAAUGCAUGGCGCCAACAAUAAAACCUAGUUAUUAUUUGCUCGUCCGAAGCCAAUGGCGAAAAACCCUAGCUCAUCGAUCUCAACAAAUAAAUAAGUAUUAUCCAACGUUUUACCAAAAACCCUAUCAAGAAAGGAGGUUAAAUUCAUGAUCAGGUCAAACACAAUUAAUGUGUUCAUCUUGCCAAGACAACAGAUAGGCUUCGUACACGACAUCGCUCGUACAAGAGUCGUGCCAUUUCAAUAUCAAAGACUAAACGACAAACAUACACAAUUGUUAGUUGUACUCUAAUCUAAUAUCACCUAAGUGGGGACACCAUAGGGGCAAAGACUUCUCACUAUUUUCUAUAAAAUUACUACUCAUUAUACCAAAAAGUCACUUAGUAUCUACUUGCCCAGAAAGUCGGCAAAUUUAGAUAAGAAAAAGAUUUAAAAGGGAACCUAUCCCCCCCCCCCCCACAAAGGAGUUAUGACGAUUCUUUCUUUGUUAGUGGAUCUUUAUUCAUUGCAAUGAGGGCUGCGAAUUAUGAAGAUCUCCCACUCUCUUUUUCUCAUACACACGCAUUCUCUGCUCUCUCUCUCUCUCUCUCUCUCUCUCUCUAAUACAUGAAUGAACAUCUAUGGAAAUAAGUAAAAUUGUUGGGAGGCAUGUGUGGUCUCAAAAGGUGAAAUGAAAUGAAAAGGAGUCACUUUCUUGGUUACUAGUUGCUGUUGUUUUGUGGGGGAAAGGAAUAACUUUUUGCAGCUUAAAAAGAUAGGGCAUUUUUCCUUUUAAAAGGUUGGCUUUUGAGAGGAGAGUGUAAACCGUAAAGUUGAGUGGGAAUAGAGAACUUCGCUCCACUCAAAGACUUAAAAGAAUUACCUUAUACUACUUAAUUAGCUUAUACUUGUCUUGGUGAUAGUUUUUUGCUUCUCAUUUCUUGCGCCAAUGGAUAUUGUUGUGUAUUAAUUGUACACCAUAGUACCAAUCCACUGGUUCAUCUAAGUGCGUUUUGUCAAGCUUUGGCUUACAUAUAAAGUUGACGAAGUACAGAAGAAGAUGAAUAUUUUUGAUGCCUUCCAUUUGUCAAUUGCCCCAGAUACCAGUGAACAGAAUUUCGAUCUUGGUACUAGUUCCCAGUCCACAUUCGUACUUUUAUAGAGUUAUAUAUAUAUGUACAUUUAGGCUAGUAGCUAGCUGCUGCAAAUAUAUGAUUCGGAUUAUUGGGUUUGUUUGUUCUUCUUAGAAUUGGAAGUAGAGAGUCGGCACAGUUUUGUCAAGCCAUGUAAUUCUCGUAACUUUUUUCCUCAAAGGAUUUUGUUUAGCCCAGGUUCUUGGUGACCACCAACUUUUUACUCAUCGUGAAUCCAGUAUGAUUUUGUUGGAUGGAUUUAUAUCAAAAUCGCUACACGAAGCCUUACAAGCGGAUGAAUUGAGAUUCUUUUCAAAAAGAAUGGAUGACACGAAAAAAUUUCAUAUAUGUUCUUGUCAAAGUUACCAAACAUGUGGAGAACAGCCUUUAUAUAUAGAACCCAAACGCCCGAACGCUUGCCUCUUUUUUUCUUUUAUGACGUAAUUGAGAUAUUUUGAAUCCAAAAUUUUGUGCUUACAAUCCCUUUAAUCCUACCAUCCAAUCCAACCCUUCUUUCAAGUUACUCUCAACAAAUAAGUCCUCGGGAUUUAUUUGAUUAGGAAGUAGUUUGUUUGAUUAUCAACAAUCAUUCAUGACUUUUUGCGGAAAUUAAAUUAAAAAUUAAUUAUGAUAGUCAAUUAAUGAAUGUCAUUGCGCCCUAAUGAAACAAAAGAAAAUGCCAUAAAAAACAAUAGAGAAAAUUAUAGCUCUAUUUUAAACUUUUAAUUACGUCCAUAUGACUAAUUCCUUGAACAUGCUUGCCAUUUUAUGGAAUCAAAGUUGUGCAAGCCACGUAUAAAUAUAUGUCAAGAAUAAAGGAAAAGAUUAUAUACAACCUGCAUGUCUCGAGUAUUCAAGUGUCCACCACUGACUUCGAAUUAGAUAUGGUGAGAUCUAGAUCACCUGAAAGUCCACUCCAACCCCAAGGAGCAUAUAUUCUCGAAGAAUAAAUCUCCAGCCCUUUUCCCCACAAAUUCUUGCAACGACUAUUUGAAUGGCGUACAUAAUAAAACACGUUGCAUCAGUUACCGAAGACUACUAAUUCAACCUUUGUCGUUGGUGACAAGACUUGGCAUCAUCUUGCCAAAUUAUUGGUACGACACUAAACUUUGAAUGUAAGAUUUUUAUACAUUGUGGGGACGAAUUUUUUUUUUUUUUUUUUUUACAUUAACAGAUUUAGAUCAUAAUAUAUACUAAAAAUCUAAAUUAUGUACAUGUGUGACGUACAUUCAUAAUUAGUAGUGUAAAAAAAUCACUACACUAUCAAUGCAGAUGAAGGUCGACCGAUCCAAACUUUAAAGCAUGGUCAUAUUAUUUCUUUAGUAUGAAAAUUGGACAAAAAGAUGGAAGCGAGGAAAACAAUAAUAUCUCUUAUCGUUUGGAAAAAAAAAGAGGAAGACAAUAAUAAAUCUUUCCGCAGGUAGACGAAAUAAACACGGCCAUAUUAUAUGGAUUUUGUUAUUUCAAUUAAUUCUAAUGGGACACUGAAAUAGUAAAUACAAACUUGUAGACAAUGAUCGAGCUUAAUUAAGAGAAGGAACUAAAAUGUUGCCUUGGGAUUGUUCUUUUCUAUUUUGGCUCAUGUCAAAUGUAUUGCAGGCCUCUAUAUAAAAUCGAAAUAAUAAAUUAACUAAAUUUCUAGUUAACAUAAAAUUGGCCGGCAUAUUUUUUUCAUAAAUUGUUUUCUUGUUCAUUCCGAAAGGAACAUAAUAUAAAUUGCCUAAUCAAAGUUAGAUGGUAAAGACCCUACCUACUCUUGAGCCUUCUUGGCUAUAUAAAGAUUUUCAAAAAACACGUACUAGGUUUGAUGUCGGUAUACGGCUUCCAAUUCCAUCUAUUAAAGAUUGAUGAAGAAGACUUCAUAAACGUUUCAGUACCCAUUCUAGAGGAAGAAAAGUAGUAAUAGCAUUAAAUUUGAGACUUGACCAAAUCGUUAUGUUGCUGCUACCUAUUAUGGGCUAGCUGUCUUGCAACGUAACAACAGCUUUGACAAAAAUUUUUUUUUUUUUCAUGUUUUCUGCUUUCCACUUACGUAAUACUUAGAAAACUUGCUUUAAAAAAUAAAAACUUGGGCUUCAUUAGGUUUGCAAUUGUUACAAAAUGUGAUUCUUCAACCACACUUUUUGAUCAUACGUUAAGUCUCAAAAACACUACUAUUUUAUUUUAUAUUUUUUUUUUGAAAACCUUUCUUCCAAGAAAUGCCAUAGUCAAGAGGUAAUGGCGUUGAGAUGUCUCAGAGCUGUAAUAUUCCUCCUCAAACUCGAAGGCAUUGAAGAAGAAGAGCCACGUCUAAUUUGGCUUGGUGGUUGAAGAAAAAUCAAGUGGCCAAGCGCCGACGACCAAACCAAUGUGUUAAAACUGUACCUAGCCCACGGGACGAUUACAAAAAUAUAUUCUAUUUUGCACCAAUCUUUGACCAUUUGACGACAAGAAACCGGCUUUCGGAUGUGACAAAACUGAUGCUAGCAAAUUAGGUGUAGAAGUCAAUCUAUUCUCAUGCCAUAUUUUUGGCAAAAAAAAAAACAUUUUUUUGGUAACCCGUAUGAAUAAGUAAUCUUUAGUGUACGGGCUAGUUUCCAAAUUGUGGGAUUCUUUUUGCGUUUUAUCUCAGAAAAAUGAUACUAAAUGACUCACCAAAUUAGAAAAAGGAGGAAGGUUGAGUUGAGUGAUAAUGUAAAAAAAAGUUUAUAAAUUAGGGAUCGUGAAUUCAAGAUCUUCUGCUUAAAAAAAAAAAAAAUUAGAGGAAGAGAGGGAAAUUGGCGUUAAAUACUUACGAGAGAAAAUUAAAUCAGAAGAAGGAUUAAAGUGAACAAAGGUUGACCGAGGCCGAGGCCGGCCACAACUAUAAAGGAGGAAAAUGUGAUGAUGUGCACGUGUGGGCGUACUUAUCAAAUCAUCUGGUAAAUGCAGCAGCAUUAGAAAAAUCCCACCUCAUUUGACCCAUCUCUAAUUGUCCAACAAUACUGCUUAGUGGGGCCCCAAUUGGGCUUACUGAUCCACAUUUCCAUCGCAUUCUUCUGAGUCAUCGAUCCACAAUUUACAACUAAUCAUUUUUUAUUUUUUAUUUUUGGAUUUGAAAAGUUUGCCUAGUGAGGUUUUCUAGAAAAGGAGUAUGCCCUAAUCCACUUUAGAUUAUUUACUAAUAUUUGCUAAUCAAAUAAUUUUCUUUUUGUAAGACAUGAUUUAGAUAGGAUCACGCAUGAUUUUACUGGGAGGUGAUGGGUAGGUAGUGUAGUGCCAGAAAAAGCAGAGUAAAAAAAGAUAUGGCAAACCUCAUGAUAUGAUCGUUGGAAAUUAGGACAUGCGAUAAAUAUAUAUAUUUUUAUGAGUUGAAGCCUAAAUACGCAGGAUUGAAAUUUUGAAUCCCGUUUAGUGCAUCAUACAAGAAGUACAGUGCUUCUUCUUAUUAUUAUUUUUUUUUUAAAUUCAAAGAGUGCAGUAAUACAAUUAUCUGAUAUAGUGAUUCACCUACCAAUUCUUACAUAAAGUCUCUUUAUAACAGGUUAGAUGGUUGACGUUGCAGACCAAAAAAAAAAAGAGAGGGAGAGAGAGAACCACUUUACUUGAUUAAAAAGGUUUUGAUGAUAUAGCCAAAUUGAUCAGAAUCUGCCGUCAAAGAAAAUUACCUGACCCGAAGAUAAAAUGUUGGAAAAACUACAACUAUAAGGUGAGAGAUUUUAGAUUCCACGAGAAAUAGAAUUAUAAACUUAGGGAGGAAUAGUAACUUGGAUUUCUUCUUAAACGCCUGGGGUAUGUAACUUACCUAGUAAUGGUCACAAGUGCUUUUUUUUUUUUUUGAAACGCUCUUAAUUUCUUGUACAUGUUUCAACCUACAGAAAAAGGUCAGAGGACACGGUUUUAAGGCUAAAACAGAGAGAAAAGUUUACUUUUGGAAUUUUUCAGACAAUAGACAUUUUGGUGUGGUCGAAUGAUUAGUAAUUUCAGACAAAUUUAUAUCCUUUUAUAUAAAAUCAGAGUAGUUGUCCUUCAAAUUGCUAAACAUUUUAGCCUGUCAUUCACUCCAGCCAUCAACACCACGUGAUACAUGUUAGCAUGAUAAUAAAACAUAUAUAUAUAUAUAUAUAGUCCUUUUAAAAGGCUUACGAAAAUAAAAUAGAAGUAAUUCUAAUUUUUCAUCCAUAGCGGGGCAAAUUGGAGAAAUUCAAUAUUUUAGUUCUUACAAACACGCCUUGAUUGGAUUGAUACUUUUUUUUUAUAAAAUUUUUUAUAAAUAAAUUUUUUAAUUAUAUUUUAAUCUCAUAAACAUAGGCCUUGUUUGCAGGUAAGUUUUUUGUCAAGUUUAUCUGUUACAAGUUUUUUAAAAACUUUAGUCACAGUAACGUCAAAAAAAUUUUCAAAAUUUUUAAACUAUAUAUUUCAAAAUAUUAAAAAAUUUACAUAUUUCAAAAAUUUUUUAAAAAAUUUUUAUAGUAAAUUACAAUAAAAUUUUAGAUAAAUACCCAAAAUAACUCACUUAUCAAACAGUGUCAUAAUUCGCUGUAAAAGCAAGGAAAGUAAAUGCAUGACUCGUGGCUGGUGAUGCACUGUUUUUAUCAGGUGGAGAAAUAAAAAGUGUAAAAAUGAAAUGUCAAACCGCCCAUAUUCCCAAGUCCCCCAACUCAAACAAAUAAACAACAAAAUCCACAGGUCAGACUCAACUCUCCCUUCCUAAUCUUCUACAAUUCAACUCUCUCUCUCUCCACAUUCAUUUUGAUUCGUCCGCUCGUGGCCGCAGGCCGCCAAUUGAAUCUACUACUAGUACUUCUACUCCUGCAGCAAGAAGAGUAAAAGCAGAGACAAUAUUAACAAAGCCCACCUCCUCUUCUUCGGUUCUUCCUCCUCUUCCCUUCCUCUCAACUACCCAUUAACCAUUUUCAAUCAAUCUAUCCUCCCCUGAACCACACACCACACACUACUGUGUUUUUCUUGAUUUUCGAGCUCCGCACUAGACACUUUUCCUUUAUUUUUACUGCUAAAGUUUCCUGCUUUCUACUUUUUGAGCAAAAACCCAUCUCGAAAAUAAGCUUUUUGUUGAAUCUUGGUACGGGAUUUUGUUAAAAAAAAAAUAUGGGGAGCAAAUGGAGAAAAGUGAAGCUGGCUCUUGGGAUGAAUCUUUGUGUUUAUAGUCCAAGAACUGGGAAUGAUGAUGACUCUUCUCCAACGUCCGAGAUACUUUCCAACGCAGCACUGCUCUCUCCGUCCACCGAUGGUAGCCUCCACAAUACUUCUCCUUCUCCUUCUCCUACUUCAGGGUCUCAGGGCCAUGGGUUCAGGUUGUCCAAGAGCUUGAGCAGGUCUUCUAAGGUUUGUGUCUUGGACCUCCUUUUCUUUUUCUUUGUCCCUUUCUUCUUUUGUUUGGGUUAUUCGUUUUUUGGGUCUACAAUGGGUUUUUUGGUUUGCUGGGGUAUGAGAAAAUUGAGGAAGUUUGCUGGUUCAUUUGCUGGCUAAGAUAUCUGGGAGAUGAAAUGCUUGUUAACUAGGGAACAGGAGAUUGGAACAGAUGAAAAACUAGAGUCGUUUUCGUUGUGGUUGUGCUAAAUUGAUGAGAAAAAUGGAGCAGUGUAAACUGUGAUUGAAAAGUCGAUAGCCUUUCUGUUCUUUUUGUUUCUUCUUUUUCAAUUGUUUGGGGCUUUGGGGAAGAAACUGAAGAAAAUUCUACCGUAAAUGGCUUAAGCUGAGGAUUUGGAGGAAUAUAGUGAAACCAGUUUGAGCCUUUUGUGACAUUACCCAAGUUUCUUUUUUUGGCUGUGAAGUGUAGAUGUGUAAUAUUAAUAAAGGCAAUGACAAAUAAGAUAGUUUGAUCUCUCCCCAAAAGGAUUAUUGCUAUCACUAGCUGUAAGGGAUCAAAGUAUGUUGUAAUUCCUAUUGGUGCUUUCAUUUUUUCAAGAACUGUACUGGGAUCUGAUCCUGCUUUAGGUGUUAUGUUUGCUUCUGAGGGAACAAUGUUGAACAGCAAAACGGAGGUUAAGUUGGAGAUUUGCUAAAAACAUAAGAUUCAUCUCGCUGUUAGCUUUUUUUUAGGUGUCAUCUAUCGUUAGUUUUACAUCUAUCUGAAUUCUGUUUGGUCCUGCUGCUAUGGCAACUGAGGCAAUAAAGUUUCAAACAUGGGAUGUCUGAUCGUCUUUGCAGAAAAUUUAAAAGAAAAUACUAAACAGAUUUUACUUUUUGUUUUUGACAUAGAUAAAUAUCGUUGUAUCCUACAUCUGUCAUUUCUCGUUGUUCCAAUGGCAUGAUCUUCCUCUGUAUUGGAUAUGUUGUAAAUUCUGGCUUUGAUUCAAUGGGUAUAUUGCUUUCACUGUUGCUUUUUCUCCUGUACCUGCUAAUUUGAAACCUUAAGAAGUAAUUUGUUCAGAGUCUUUUGUUUUUCAUUUGUGUUUGUGCCUGCAUAGGCAAUCUGGAUGAUCAAGAAAUAACUAAAGGCAGAGAUGAAAAAGAAAGGAUGCUGCAGUCCCCUUGUAGACUUGUAGUGUGAAAAAAAAAAAGGACAAAGUCUUUUAGACUAGUCAACAAAUCCAUUCUAAACAGCUAUCAAACAUGCUUGUGGGUUCGUCUUUGGAAAUGACAAAUGCUGCUAGUCUUUUCAACGAAUCAGUUGUGGCACUUUAAUUAGAAUUACCUUUACCAGAAAACAGGACCAUGACCUUCGUGUCACACGAAACCUCCAGUUUAUCGGUUACAAUGAAAAUUACUGAAUUCUCAUUGCUCUGGAUACAAAUCAGUGAUAGAGGAGGAGAAAAGAGUUAGAAUACGGAAACUUUAAACUGUAGUUUGCAAAAUGCUUAAAUUGACAAAAAAUAUAGGAGGUUUUAUAUCUUUGUAACUUUGUAAAAGCGCCUCCACUUAAUUGAGAAACAAAUUGUACUCUAGAGAAUAUAAAAGAACUGACUGGAUCCAGCUUUAACUUGAGAGAAGGGUAAGUGCAAGCUUUUAGGAUAUAAAUGCUUGCUAUUACUGUUUAUUCCCUAAAAUGUUUAUACAAAAUACUGUAUGGAAUCACUUUUGUAUUGCAAUUCAAACUUUUAAGCAAGCCCAGCUGGAGGAAUCCAACUGAAAGUUGGUGAUUGAGUACAUUGUGAAAUCCUCCCGAGUUUAUAAUUUAGCUCAAAAUGCUUUAACGGGAGAUAAGUUUCAUUGUGUUUGAUAUCAUCAUUGAACCUAAAAAUUUGAGUUUAAUGUACAUGUAAACAUGACAUUGUGGUGACUCAGCUUAGUGGUCUAUGCCCAAUAAUACUGUUCUCUAAUUAUUUCGGUGUUUGAAUUAUCAGAUGCUUAACCUGACCUUAAAGUCAAACUCAGUGUCUGUAUAAGUCAAACCGGAAUUGUCCUUCUAGUUAUUAAUCCUAUCCGUUAUUACUUGAACUGUUAUCCUGCUUUUCACUUGACUUCUAUUGUCAUCUCACUGGAUCUUCAAUUUGACAUACAGAAGACGUGCUCGAUAUGUUUAGCCUCAAUGAACCGUGGAGAUGGUCAUGCGAUAUUCACUGCCGAAUGUUCACAUUCUUUUCACUUCCAGUGUAUUGCUUCCAAUGUAAAACAUGGAAACCAAAUAUGCCCAGUUUGUAGAGCAAAGUGGAACGAGAUUCCCCUGCAGUAUCCAAAUUUGGAUCCUCCCCCUGGAAGGGCUAGAGUUAAUCCUGUUGAUUGGCCCCAACAUAAUGCUCUAAUGACUGUAGUGCGCAGACUCCCUCCACCUCGUCCUAAUCCUAAUCGAAUCAAUGCACCUCCAUUUCCGGCUCCUGAGCCUGCUAUCUUCAAUGAUGAUGAAUCUUUGGGUCAUCAGUCCGACUCUAGUGAGAGAAGCUCUUCGGGCAAGAAUGUUGCAGAAAAUGAUGGCCAAAGAACAAUGAAAAUCAAAACAUACACCGAAGUUCCAGCUGUCCUCCGGUUCAAUGUUGCUGAUAACUUCACGAUCUUAAUUAAUCUCAAAGCUCCAGCUCCAAAUUCCAGUGAGAACAUGAGUAGAAACCAGGCAAGUUCACCCCAAGUUUCCCAAACAUCUCGUGCACCUGUUGACCUUGUCACGGUUCUAGAUGUCAGUGGCAGCAUGGCAGGUACCAAGCUUGCAUUGCUCAAGCGAGCUAUGGGGUUUGUGAUACAGAACCUUGGUCCCAAUGACAGGCUUGCAGUAAUUGCCUUCUCAUCAACCGCCCGCCGGUUGUUUCCCCUUCGUAGGAUGUCUGAAACAGGACGGCAGCAAGCACUGCAAGCUGUUAACUCUUUAGUUGCAAAUGGAGGGACAAACAUUGCUGAAGGCUUGCGCAAGGGUGCCAAGGUAAUGGAAGAUCGCAGAGAAAAGAACCCUGUUGCCAGUAUUAUAUUGCUAUCUGAUGGGCAAGAUACAUAUACAGUUAGUAACAUGGGGAGCAGUCAACAGCAACCAAAUUACCAACUUCUUCUUCCAUUGUCUAUCCACAAUGAAAGUAGUUCUAAUUUUAAGAUUCCAGUGCAUGCUUUUGGGUUCGGGGCAGACCAUGAUGCUUCAUCAAUGCACUCAAUCUCAGAGAUAUCUGGAGGAACCUUCUCUUUCAUUGAAACAGAAGGUGUAAUCCAGGAUGCAUUUGCUCAGUGCAUUGGUGGACUUUUGAGUGUUGUGGUCAAGGACCUGCAGGUGAAUAUUGAGUGUGUUGAUCCAAGAGUCAGUCUUGGUUCCUUAAAAGCUGGAAGCUACCCCAAUCGUGUGAUGUCGGAUGGAUGCAUGGGAACUAUUGAUGUUGGCGACCUGUAUGCUGAUGAGGAACGAGACUUUCUAGUUUCAGUUAAUGUCCCAACUGAAAUUUCAAGCUCUGAAACUGCAUUGAUAAGGGUGAAAUGUGUUUACAAUGAUCCUUUGACAAAAGGCUCGGUGACUGUUGGAAGUGAUGAAGUUAGGAUUAGAAGACCUGAUGAAGCUGGACAACAAAGUGCAUCAGUUGAAGUGGAUAGGCAACAGAACAGGCUGCGUGCGGCUGAGGCGAUGCUCCUAGCGCGAACUACGGCUGAGAAAGGAGACCUGUCUGGUGCAGCAUCUAUUCUUGAAAACUGUCGCAAGGUGUUGUCAGAAACUGUUUCGGCCAAGUCUCAUGAUCGGCUCUGCAUUGCACUUGAUGCUGAGCUUAAAGAAAUGCAAGAGAGACUGGCAAGCAGACAUGUGUAUGAAGCAUCAGGAAGGGCAUAUAUUCUUUCAGGACUAAGCUCACACUCAUGGCAGAGAGCAACAGCACGAGGUGACUCGACGGAUGGUUCAAGCCUGGUUCAGGCCUAUCAAACCCCGUCAAUGACCGAGAUGCUGAAUCGGUCUCAGGCUUCCCUACUAGGUAGUUCUUCAGCUCAGAGGCUCAUUCGACCUGUUUUAUCAUUUGCAUCACAUCCAAAGCCAAGGUGACCUUGCGACACCAAGAUAUGGAGUUUUCUCAAAGAUAACUGUUUUUCAUUGGUCUCCUUGAUGCUAUAGCUGUGCUUAUUUGUGUUUUGGGCCGGGGAAAAGUUAAUAGGUAAGAAACAGUUUUGGGUGUCAUUAUCUUCCUGUCUCAAUUAUGUAAAGCAAUAAACAUUGGUGAAGCGUGGAAAGUAUAAUGGGGUCAAGGUAAGGGGUAAACGGAGUAGGAUAAUCCAACUUUUGCUUUUUGUUGUUUCUUUUUCACCUUGUGGGUAUCAUUGGGGGUGGUGUACAUAAGGAAAGAUGGAUUUUCAUCUGAGAGAGAAGCCGGUAUAAGUUUGUAAUUGUGGAAAUAUUUUGUGAACUGCGCAGCUAUUACAUAAGAAUGUGAUUCUUUCACGGAGUUUUAAUAAUCAUGCAGUGGUAUGACUGGUACUAAUUCUUCAGCCACUUGAUAAAAUGGACUCUCUCUUUACGCAACUGAGAUCAUGAUAAGCAUGCAAAAAGUCACUCAAGAUGGUAUGGUACUACUAUCAUGGGAUGGAAAAGAUGAAACAUAUAUUAUUGUUUAAUUUUAGGAAAAGAUGAACUUCAAAGUUGACCUUCCGUGGAGACUUGUGCUUCUCCUCAUUCAUUACUAGUCCAGAGAACAAAAGCUAGCACUACAGUGCUUUGACAUUGCACCGGAUUGUUGCCAAGAAAUACACUACUGUACUGUCCUACUGUACUGUAAAAGAUGGUGUGGUGCAUUAUUCUAAACGGUCCAUACCCUUUUCCAGCCUCUCAAUUGACUUUAAAAACUUUGGGGAUUGAUAAAGAUGGUCAUGAUCCUUUAUUUUUUUCAUGAUCCUUUAUUGAUUCACUUUUUUGUUGCAUGAAAUGUCUCAUAACGUAGAAAGCUUUAAAAAAAUAUUGGGUACUCUUUAGCUUUUUGUUCCGUUACGUCUUUUCAUACGAUAAGGGGAAAUUAAUUCUUAUCUUUGCCGCGGGCGGGCUCACAUAUCAGAUUAUUAUGUGCGAGAAUAGGCAGCUUUACUGAUUGCGAGCAAAGAUUGAAUAUCAUCAGGUCAGCAACUGUGGCAAUCUCAAAGCUCCAGCUCCAAAUUCCAGUGAGAACAUGAGUAGAAACCAGGCAAGUUCACCCCAAGUUUCCCAAACAUCUCGUGCACCUGUUGACCUUGUCACGGUUCUAGAUGUCAGUGGCAGCAUGGCAGGUACCAAGCUUGCAUUGCUCAAGCGAGCUAUGGGGUUUGUGAUACAGAACCUUGGUCCCAAUGACAGGCUUGCAGUAAUUGCCUUCUCAUCAACCGCCCGCCGGUUGUUUCCCCUUCGUAGGAUGUCUGAAACAGGACGGCAGCAAGCACUGCAAGCUGUUAACUCUUUAGUUGCAAAUGGAGGGACAAACAUUGCUGAAGGCUUGCGCAAGGGUGCCAAGGUAAUGGAAGAUCGCAGAGAAAAGAACCCUGUUGCCAGUAUUAUAUUGCUAUCUGAUGGGCAAGAUACAUAUACAGUUAGUAACAUGGGGAGCAGUCAACAGCAACCAAAUUACCAACUUCUUCUUCCAUUGUCUAUCCACAAUGAAAGUAGUUCUAAUUUUAAGAUUCCAGUGCAUGCUUUUGGGUUCGGGGCAGACCAUGAUGCUUCAUCAAUGCACUCAAUCUCAGAGAUAUCUGGAGGAACCUUCUCUUUCAUUGAAACAGAAGGUGUAAUCCAGGAUGCAUUUGCUCAGUGCAUUGGUGGACUUUUGAGUGUUGUGGUCAAGGACCUGCAGGUGAAUAUUGAGUGUGUUGAUCCAAGAGUCAGUCUUGGUUCCUUAAAAGCUGGAAGCUACCCCAAUCGUGUGAUGUCGGAUGGAUGCAUGGGAACUAUUGAUGUUGGCGACCUGUAUGCUGAUGAGGAACGAGACUUUCUAGUUUCAGUUAAUGUCCCAACUGAAAUUUCAAGCUCUGAAACUGCAUUGAUAAGGGUGAAAUGUGUUUACAAUGAUCCUUUGACAAAAGGCUCGGUGACUGUUGGAAGUGAUGAAGUUAGGAUUAGAAGACCUGAUGAAGCUGGACAACAAAGUGCAUCAGUUGAAGUGGAUAGGCAACAGAACAGGCUGCGUGCGGCUGAGGCGAUGCUCCUAGCGCGAACUACGGCUGAGAAAGGAGACCUGUCUGGUGCAGCAUCUAUUCUUGAAAACUGUCGCAAGGUGUUGUCAGAAACUGUUUCGGCCAAGUCUCAUGAUCGGCUCUGCAUUGCACUUGAUGCUGAGCUUAAAGAAAUGCAAGAGAGACUGGCAAGCAGACAUGUGUAUGAAGCAUCAGGAAGGGCAUAUAUUCUUUCAGGACUAAGCUCACACUCAUGGCAGAGAGCAACAGCACGAGGUGACUCGACGGAUGGUUCAAGCCUGGUUC
This 40154-nucleotide long non-coding RNA is filed under the name Coffea arabica (coffee). Its description in RNAcentral is "long non-coding RNA (CARA_LNC000961)". The record is from RNAcentral. Lineage: Eukaryota; Viridiplantae; Streptophyta; Magnoliopsida; Gentianales; Rubiaceae.